UUUUUUUUUUUUUUUUUUUAAAUAAAUUUGUUCUGUGGUCAGAGACCUUUUGGUAUUUGGUAGCCACAUUAGGCCAUAAUUAAUCUAGAGUUGAGCUAUUGUUGGAUUGCAUAAGGGAGCUCUCCCAGCCCCUGUUGCUCCCUUAACAAGGCUUGAACUUGAGACCUUGUUUAAUGUUUAUAAAGGCUGUUUUGAGGCUCUCUUCAGUCGGAGGUGAUGCCUUACCCCUUGUCUCAGAACAAAGGGUGUAUGCCUUGUGCAGAUGCCGUGCAUGCCUUGCAUGUGCCUCAGGAUAGUUUUUGAGGUGUCAAUGUGUGGGUUGGGCAACUGGACCUUGAUUGGGGACUCUGGAGACAAGGAUAUUAAUAGUUUGAACUACUCUGUAAGACUAAGAGACAGGAGAUGUUAAUUAAACACUCUAGAAUCUCUGGAAACUAAGAGUUAGAAUUGUAGAACUC
Molecule: long non-coding RNA, 458 nt
Organism: Ipomoea nil (Japanese morning glory)
Lineage: Eukaryota; Viridiplantae; Streptophyta; Magnoliopsida; Solanales; Convolvulaceae
Exons: 2
Source: RefSeq, a predicted model, not a curated record